UUUAUAGAGCGCCAUCAAAUUCUGCAGCGCUUUACAAUGGGUGGACGAACAGACAUGUAGUUGUAACCAGACAAGUUGGACACACAGGAACAGAGGGGUUGAGGGCCCUGCUCAAUGAGCCUACAUGCUAGAGGGAGUGGGGUAAAAUGACACAAAAAGGUAAGGAUAGUAUUAGACUAGUGACAGUUGCAGAAGAGGAAUCAGUCAGGAGUUAUUAACAGUUUAAUUGAUACGCUUUUAUGAAGAAGU
Pelobates cultripes (western spadefoot toad) is the source of this 249-nucleotide non-coding RNA. Lineage: Eukaryota; Metazoa; Chordata; Amphibia; Anura; Pelobatidae. The record is from the annotation of a GenBank genome assembly.